This 86-nucleotide ribosomal RNA is filed under the name Eurolophosaurus amathites. RNAcentral describes it as "partial 16S large subunit ribosomal RNA". The record is from RNAcentral. Lineage: Eukaryota; Metazoa; Chordata; Lepidosauria; Squamata; Tropiduridae.
UUUUUAAAACUAGCUCGCCCAUCCCUACUAAAAACCAGCCCAAAUAAACAAACCAUUUGAUAAGACUAGUAAAGGAGAUUAAACAU